RNAcentral lists this ribosomal RNA (505 nucleotides) under Heliconius numata numata. Its description in RNAcentral is "partial 16S ribosomal RNA". The record is from RNAcentral. Lineage: Eukaryota; Metazoa; Arthropoda; Insecta; Lepidoptera; Nymphalidae.
AUAUUUAAGUCUCAUCUGCCCACUGAUAUAAAAUUAAAGGGCUGCAGUAUAUUGACUGUACAAAGGUAGCAUAAUAAAUAGUCUUUUAAUUGAAGACUUGUAUGAAAGAUUUGAUGAAAUAUGAACUGUCUCUAUAUUAAAAAUUGAAAUUAAUUUUUUUAUUAAAAAGUUAAAAUAAUUUAAAAAGACGAGAAGACCCUAUAGAGUUUUAUAAUUUUAUUUUUUUUUAUUUAAUAUAUAAUAAUAAAUAUAAAAAAGUAUAAUUAUUUUGUUGGGGUGAUAGAAAAAUUAAAAUAACUUUUUUUAAAAAAAAAAUAAAUUACAUGAAUAAAUGAAUAAAUGAUCCAUAUAUUAUGAUUAAAAGAAAAAAUUACCUUAGGGAUAACAGCGUAAUUUUUUUUUUUAGUACAAAUAAGAAAAAAAGGUUGCGACCUCGAUGUUGGAUUAAGAUAAAAUUUAAAUGCAAAAGUUAAAAAUUUGAGUCUGUUCGAUCAUAAAAUCUACA